This 397-nucleotide ribosomal RNA is filed under the name uncultured bacterium. Its description in RNAcentral is "partial 16S ribosomal RNA". It matches the Rfam family "Bacterial small subunit ribosomal RNA", at positions 360 to 774 of the family's 1533-position model. The record is from RNAcentral.
AAUCUUGCGCAAUGGGCGAAAGCCUGACGCAGCCAUGCCGCGUGAAUGAUGAAGGUCUUAGGAUUGUAAAAUUCUUUCACCGGGGACGAUAAUGACGGUACCCGGAGAAGAAGCCCCGGCUAACUUCGUGCCAGCAGCCGCGGUAAUACGAAGGGGGCUAGCGUUGCUCGGAAUUACUGGGCGUAAAGGGCGCGUAAGCGGAUCGUUAAGUCAGAGGUGAAAUCCCAGGGCUCCACCCUAGAACUGCCUUUGAUAAUGGCGAUCUUGAGUAUGGGGGAGGUAAGGGGAACUCCGAGUGUAGAGGUGAAAUUCGUAGAUAUUCGGAAGAACACCAGUGGCGAAGGCGACAUACUGGCUCAUUACUGACGCUGAGGCGCGAAAGCGUGGGGAGCAAACA